AUCUCUCUCUCACGUAUACCCAUCAUUUCACUCAUUCUCUCUUUCUGUCUCUCUCUCACAUACACACCUUUCUCACACGUAUUUCUACCUUUCACUCCCUAUCUCUUUCUCUCAACACACACACACAUUAACUCUCUCUCCCUCCCCCUUCUCUCUCACUCUAUAUUCACCUUGCUACGUGAAGUUUCGCUUCACCAUUUUUCUAAGUGACACGCAUCGACUUUUAGGUGCUCAAGAUGAGAUCAGAUGAUGGAACCCUGUUGACAUUUGGUCUGGUUGUAAACGUGUAUCCAUCUGUCUGUCUAUCGAUCUUUCUGUCUAUUAUCUUACUAUCUCCUCGUCUCUCUCUCUCCCUUUCUCUCUCUCAUACACAGACACGAACACACAUACAUACAUACAUACAUACAUACAUACAUACAUACUUGUAAGUUUGGUGAUGCAGCAGGAAAAUAGAACUCAAAACAUGAACAUAGUGAGUCGAAUAUUACAUUUCAAAACGUGUCUUUCUCACCAAUCCCGCUUUUUCAAGACUGUUGGCAUGAUUUGAGGGAGAUUUCACCUUCUGUUUCUAGCGGAUCGAGUGGCAACAGAGACUCUCUUUGAUGUCUCGAGCAUCGACCUGACUUAAUCAAUAGAAAUCAGACAUCAGUAGUUCAAUUAAAGCUGAAGAUUCUUGUAAUUUUAUUGAAGAUAAUAAACAUAAAAUAAUUU
This is a long non-coding RNA of Octopus bimaculoides (California two-spot octopus), 711 nucleotides long. The record is from RefSeq and is a predicted model, not a curated record. NCBI's taxonomy places the organism in Eukaryota, Metazoa, Mollusca, Cephalopoda, Octopoda, Octopodidae.